CUGACCAAUCUGAAGCCUACAUUCCUUUUUUACCAUCUAACAGGUAAACCAUGAGCAGCACGAUUCUUCACACUGCCCCAUCAAUCUGCUUCAUCCCUCACCUGGAGGGACCACUUCCAGGGGGUGAGAGGAGAGGUCAGGCUUUGAGGUGCAUUUGAUCCUUGGCUUCU
Molecule: small RNA, 170 nt
Filed under: Chelonoidis abingdonii (Abingdon island giant tortoise)
Lineage: Eukaryota; Metazoa; Chordata; Testudines; Testudinidae
Description: TUC338 (ENSCABG00000009050.1)
Source: RNAcentral